UGUCCUUUGUUUAAUCUCUGUUUUGCAUGUUUGAAUAUGUAUUUUAUAGAAAUGCAUUUUGGUGCAUAGCUUUUAUGGAAGUACAUUUUAAUGUGUGUAUUUGUGGUGUUUUUGAAGUGUAAUUGUUUUUUAACCCACUUCAAGCCAUGAGGAGAGGCAAGUAAUAAAUAAAAUUAUUAUUAAUAAUAAUUUUUAGGAGCUAACUGGCAAGCAGGUAUUGUUAAAUGCCAGCCAUAGUUCAGAAUAAUCAGUUAAAAUUUCAUUGUGAGUCAACAUUUAAUAUUAAAGACUUUUAUAAUUUUGCCCACACAGAGGAUGGUUUGGGAAGGAUAGUCUAAUAGCGCCUAACCAUGAGUUUCAGAAUCUCAUUUUAUCCUCCAAGCUGAAAAAGAACUCUAAGAAAGUGUAAUAAUAGUCAUAUUUACUGGCAGUUGGUAGAUUCUGUGAGAUGUAGUGACGAACCUAUUUCAGGUUUUAGCCUGAGGUUUUAAAUGAGCUAUCCAAGAUUCUGACCUGUAUCACCCAAAAGAUGCCAAAUCUUAAAUAACUUCUUUAAUGACUGGACAAAAUCUGAGAUUGGAUUUACUAUGUUAGUGAAUGGGAGCUGCCACUGAUCGCCAGUGUUAUGUAUAUAGUUAUUAUGAUGGAGAAUCAAUUUGUAUUUCAAAUCAGCUAAUUACAGUUUAGUGGCCUUUCUACAUUUAAUGGCUCUAAGCUUCUUCCUUCAUGAUAGGCUCUACUGGAAAGAAAUUAUGGCUGGUAUCCAAAUUGUGAGGGCUGAAUAUAAUGCUCUGCCAUACACUCUUCAUCACAGAAGAUCAAGGGUCCACGAGAUUGUUUUGGCCUUCCCUUCUUCCAAAUGCAGUUCCCCACAGAGCUUGGAAGUGACAUGCUACAAGAAAAAUAACUACUUGAAUUGUAUUAUUUUGAAGGUCAACAAUGAAGGAAGUAUUACAUAAAUCUACAUUGGCAGAAUGCCUGCAGCCAGAAGACAGUCCACCACUACAGAGUUUGGCUAGCUGGCUCUAAAGGAUAUCGACUCCAACAUAUUCACAAUAAAAAAUCUGAAAAUUUUGUCAGGAAAUUCCACCAGAGCUGCUUCAAGCAAUGUUUUACUAAAGAAUUUGGCAAGUGUCCUUGCUGUGGUGAACAAGAAGUCAAAGGUUUA
Long non-coding RNA from Anolis carolinensis (green anole), 1168 nucleotides. RefSeq lists it as uncharacterized. NCBI's taxonomy places the organism in Eukaryota, Metazoa, Chordata, Lepidosauria, Squamata, Anolidae. The record is from RefSeq and is a predicted model, not a curated record. The transcript is spliced from 4 exons.